GAUGAACGCUAGCGGCAGGCUUAAUACAUGCAAGUCGUGGGGCAGCAGGUUUGUAGCAAUACAGAUGCUGGCGACCGGCAAACGGGUGCGGAACACGUACAGAACCUUCCUUUGAGCGGGGAAUAGCCCAGAGAAAUUUGGAUUAAUACCCCAUAGUAUAAUGAAGUGGCAUCACUUUAUUAUUAAAGAUUUAUCACUCGAAGAUGGCUGUGCGGCUGAUUAGGUAGUUGGCGGGUAAAGGCCCACCAAGCCUGCGAUCAGUAACUGGUGUGAGAGCACGACCAGUCACACGGGCACUGAGACACGGGCCCGACUCCUACGGGAGGCAGCAGUAAGGAAUAUUGGUCAAUGGAGGCAACUCUGAACCAGCCAUGCCGCGUGGAGGAUGAAGGUCCUCUGGAUUGUAAACUUCUUUAUAUGGACGAAAAAGGCUUUUACUAAGUCGUCUGACGGUACCGAUAUGAAUAAGCACCGGCUAACU
RNAcentral lists this ribosomal RNA (481 nucleotides) under uncultured bacterium. RNAcentral's name for it is "bacterial SSU rRNA". It matches the Rfam family "Bacterial small subunit ribosomal RNA", at positions 28 to 502 of the family's 1533-position model. The record is from RNAcentral.